GCUAUAGUGCUCCCUUGGUAAGGGGCUCAUCUGGCCGUCCACGAUUCUCCAUAACCGAAGAACAGUUGCGUUUUCUGAUAGAAUAUAACUUUUCUACAAGACAAAUGGCAGAAAUCUUGUGUGUGUCCAGGCGAACUGUGAAACAUUGUUUAAGAGAAUACAGAAUUUCACUUAGAGACAGAUACACUGAUCUGUCCGACUCUGACCUUGAUAACAGAGUUAGAGAAUUAGUUGGAGGAAAUGAUGAACUUGGUGCAGCAUGCAGCGGCACAGGGUCCGACAAAGUUUAAUCAGGACUAAUCCAGCAGGAGCAGCCCAGAGAGUCACCACACGUAUACUGCACAGAAGAGUCUAUCAGGUUGCUGGGCCAAAUUCCUUAUGGCAUUUGGACGGUAAUCAUAAGUUAAUCAGGUGGAGGAUUGUCAUGCAUGGUGGGAUUGACGGGUACAGCAGGCUUGUUGUAUUCUUAAAGGCUUCUUCCAACAAUCGAAGUGACACAGUUUUCCAGAGUUUUGUAGAAGCCAUUGGCCAAUAUGGUUUACCUUCAAGAGUCCGUUGUGAUAAUGGAGGGGAGAAUAAUGCAGUCUGCCUAUUUAUGAAUGUCUUCCGGGGAUUCACCAGAGGAAGUGCUCUAAGAGGAAGGAGCACACACAACCAGAGAAUUGAGGGAAUGUUGGGGGGACGUUUGGUGGG
Long non-coding RNA from Cyprinus carpio (common carp), 693 nucleotides. RefSeq lists it as uncharacterized. The transcript is spliced from 3 exons. The record is from RefSeq and is a predicted model, not a curated record. NCBI's taxonomy places the organism in Eukaryota, Metazoa, Chordata, Actinopteri, Cypriniformes, Cyprinidae.